GCGUUCGUGGUGUAAUGGUUAGCAUGGAUGCCUUACAAGCCUUCGACUGAUGUUCGAUUCCACCCGAACGCA
Non-coding RNA from Parelaphostrongylus tenuis, 72 nucleotides. The record is from the annotation of a GenBank genome assembly. Lineage: Eukaryota; Metazoa; Nematoda; Chromadorea; Rhabditida; Metastrongylidae.